UAGGGAAUCUUCGGCAAUGGACGAAAGUCUGACCGAGCAACGCCGCGUGAGUGAAGAAGGUUUUCGGGAUCGUAAAACUCUGUUGGUAGAGAAGAACGUUGGUGAGAGUGGAAAGCUCAUCAAGUGACGGUAACUACCCAGAAAGGGACGGCUAACUACGUGCCA
Molecule: ribosomal RNA, 165 nt
Filed under: uncultured bacterium
Lineage: Bacteria
Description: partial 16S ribosomal RNA
Rfam family: Bacterial small subunit ribosomal RNA
Source: RNAcentral